This 467-nucleotide ribosomal RNA is filed under the name uncultured bacterium. Its description in RNAcentral is "bacterial SSU rRNA". It matches the Rfam family "Bacterial small subunit ribosomal RNA", at positions 8 to 509 of the family's 1533-position model. The record is from RNAcentral.
AGAGUUUGAUCCUGGCUCAGAACGAACGCUGGCGGCACGCUUAACACAUGCAAGUCGGACGGGGUGUGAGAGCUUGCUCUUACACUUAGUGGCGGACGGGUGAGUAACACGUGGGAACAUGUCCUGUAGUGGUGGAUAGCUCUGGGAAACUGGAGGUAAUACAGCAUAAGCUCGAGAGAGGAAAGAGGAAUCGCUAUAGGGGUGGCCCGCGGCUGAUUAGGUAGUUGGUGGGGUAAAGGCCUACCAAGCCGAGGAUCAGUAGCUGGUCUGAGAGGAUGGACAGCCACACUGAAACUGAGAUACGGUUCAGACUCCUACGGGAGGCAGCAGUGGGGAAUAUUGGACAAUGGGGGCAACCCUGAUCCAGCGAUGCCGCGUGAGUGAAGAAGGUCUUAGGAUUGUAAAGCUCUUUUGACGGGGAAGAUGAUGACGGUACCCGUAGAAUAAGCACCGGCUAACUCUGUGCC